ACUGUGCUUGAAACACCGGUUCCCGUAUGAUCACUGAAGUUAAGCAACGUUGAAUUUGGUUACUAGCUAGAUGGGUGACCGUUUGGAAAUAUCAGGUGCUGAA
Molecule: non-coding RNA, 103 nt
Organism: Acanthosepion pharaonis
Lineage: Eukaryota; Metazoa; Mollusca; Cephalopoda; Sepiida; Sepiidae
Source: the annotation of a GenBank genome assembly